Molecule: non-coding RNA, 72 nt
Organism: Rattus norvegicus (Norway rat)
Lineage: Eukaryota; Metazoa; Chordata; Mammalia; Rodentia; Muridae
Source: Rfam
GGGGAUUUGGCUCAGUGGUAGAGCGCUUACCUAGGAAGCGCAAGGUCCUGGGUUCGGUCCCCAGCCUCCCCC